Molecule: long non-coding RNA, 906 nt
Filed under: Marmota monax (woodchuck)
Lineage: Eukaryota; Metazoa; Chordata; Mammalia; Rodentia; Sciuridae
Source: RNAcentral
UUCUGUGAAGUACACUGUGUGGUGUCAGCUGGGCUGAAUGGACAGAUGCCUGGAGCAUUAGCAUGUCCAGGAAGGUGGGUGUCAUGUUCAGUGGACUGAGUGAGGAAACCCUUCCUGUGUGUAGGAGGCUCAGCUCAAUGGCCUGGGCCAUGCAGACUGCAGGAGAAUCAGGGGACACUCAUCUUUGAUCUUCUCAAGCUCUCCUCCUCCAGAGCAUGAGCUUCUCCUGCCAUCAGACUUGGAUAUUGACCCCAAAUCCUUUGGCCUUUGGACUUGGACUUGCACCUGCUGCCCUCUCAGGGAAUCGUGGACUUGCAGCCCUGAAUUAGGGUGCAUCAUGGACUCUCUCCUUCUGAGGCUUCUGGCUUCUUGACUGAGAUGCAAAUAGAGAUGGGCAAGGCCAUGCUGAUGACCACCAGUUCUGACAUCAUCACUGCUAAUGCACUUGCACACACACACACACACACACACACCACCACCACCACCACCACAGUAUCCUGAAAUUAAGGCUGGAAGAGAAAUCAUGAACAUGGCUCAUAAUGGUUGCAUAACCUUCCAUUUAUCUCUUAUUUGAGGAACCACAGGUGUUACUGUGAUGACCCUGGCUCCUCCCUCCUGCCUUUGGCAUUGUAGAGUCAUCAUCCACCUCCUGCAGGUCCAAACAGAACCUUUUACAGACAGAUGAAUAUACUUAUUUGCAUUGAUUCUUGCAGAAGCCAGGUCAGCCCACACAGCUUCUGACCUCUAGGAAUUACUGUUGUCUCUGGGUCUCAGAGACAACUUCAGUGGCAGAGGGUCAGGGUCAGAUUUCAUUCUGAACCUCUGGAAGGUGGAGGCUGAGACAUUGGUGUUUACUUCUGUGUGCAGCUCUUAAACUUCCUCUCACAGGUUCAGCCCUGAACACAG